Molecule: ribosomal RNA, 404 nt
Filed under: Stenopogon sabaudus
Lineage: Eukaryota; Metazoa; Arthropoda; Insecta; Diptera; Asilidae
Description: partial large subunit ribosomal RNA
Rfam family: Bacterial large subunit ribosomal RNA
Source: RNAcentral
GGCCGCAGUAUUCUAACUGUGCAAAGGUAGCAUAAUCAUUAGUCUUUUAAUUGAAGGCUUGUAUGAAUGGUUGGACGAGACAUAAGCUGUUUCAUGAAAAUUUUUUAUAGAAUUUUAUUAUUUAGUUAAAAAGCUGAAAUGUUUUUGAAAGACGAGAAGACCCUAUAGAUCUUUAUAAUUAUCAGAUAAUGUUUAUAAAGAUUCUUUUAUGUAUUAUCUGGUAUAUUAUUUUGUUGGGGUGACAUUAAGAUUUACAUAACUCUUAAAUAUUUGUUUUACAUUUAUUUAUGGUAUUUUGAUCCACUAUUAGUGAUUAAUAAAUUAAGUUACCUUAGGGAUAACAGCGUAAUUUUUUUAGAGAGUUCAUAUCGAUAAAAAGGAUUGCGACCUCGAUGUUGGAUUAA